CAGCCGCCACGGUAAUACAGAGGAUGCAAGCGUUAUCCGGAAUGAUUGGGCGUAAAGGGCUCGCAGGCGGUUUCUUAAGUCUGAUGUGAAAGCCCCCGGCUCAACCGGGGAGGGUCAUUGGAAACUGGGAAACUUGAGUGCAGAAGAGGAGAGUGGAAUUCCACGUGUAGCGGUGAAAUGCGUAGAGAUGUGGAGGAACACCAGUGGCGAAGGCGACUCUCUGGUCUGUAACUGACGCUGAGGAGCGAAAGCGUGGGGGGCGAACAGGAUUAGAUACCCCCGUAGUCCCUGUCUCUUAUAC
Molecule: ribosomal RNA, 301 nt
Filed under: uncultured bacterium
Lineage: Bacteria
Description: partial 16S ribosomal RNA
Rfam family: Bacterial small subunit ribosomal RNA
Source: RNAcentral